This 497-nucleotide ribosomal RNA is filed under the name uncultured bacterium. Its description in RNAcentral is "partial 16S ribosomal RNA". It matches the Rfam family "Bacterial small subunit ribosomal RNA", at positions 28 to 507 of the family's 1533-position model. The record is from RNAcentral.
GAUGAACGCUGGCGGCGUGCCUAAUACAUGCAAGUCGAGCGAACGGACGUGAAGCUUGCUUCUCUGAUGUUAGCGGCGGACGGGUGAGUAACACGUGGAACACCUACCUAUUAGACUGGGAUAACUUCGGGACACCGGAGCUAAUACCGGAUAAUCUUUUGAACUGCAUGGUUCAAAAGUGAAAGACGGUCUUGCUGUCACUUAUAGAUGGAUCCGCGCUGCAUUAUCUAGUUGGUAAGGUAACGGCUUACCAAGGCAACGAUGCAUAGCCGACCUCAGAGGGUGAUCGGCCACACUGGAACUGAGACACGGUCCAGACUCCUACGGCAGGCAGCAGUAGGGAAUCGUCCGCAAUGGGCGAAAGCCUGACGGAGCAACGCCGAGUGAGUGAUGAAGGUCUUCGGAUCGUAAAACUCUGUUAUUAGGGAAGAACAUAUGUGUAAGUAACUGUGCACAUCGUGACGGUACCUAAUCAGAAAGCCACGGCUAACUACGUG